GCAUAUCAAUAAGCGGAGGAAAAGAAACCAACAGGGAUUGCCCCAGUAACGGCGAGUGAAGCGGCAACAGCUCAAAUUUGAAAUCUGGCCCCCCGGGGCCCGAGUUGUAAUUUGUAGAGGAUGCUUUUGGUGAGGCGCCGCCCGAGUGCCCUGGAACGGGACGCCACAGAGGGUGAGAGCCCCGUCUGGCUGGCCGCCGAGCCUCUGUAAAGCUCCUUCGACGAGUCGAGUAGUUUGGGAAUGCUGCUCAAAAUGGGAGGUAUAUGUCUUCUAAAGCUAAAUAUUGGCCAGAGACCGAUAGCGCACAAGUAGAGUGAUCGAAAGAUGAAAAGCACCUUGAAAAGAGGGUUAAAUAGUACGUGAAAUUGUUGAAAGGGAAGCGCUUGUGACCAGACUCGGGCGCGGCGGAUCAUCCGGGGUUCUCCCCGGUGCACUUCGCCGCGUCCGGGCCAGCAUCAGUUCGCCGCGGGGGAAAAAGGCUUCGGGAACGUGGCUCCCCCGGGAGUGUUAUAGCCCGUCGCACAAUACCCUGCGGUGGACUGAGGACCGCGCAUCACGCAAGGAUGCUGGCGUAAUGGUCACCAGCGACCCGUCUUGAAACACGGACCAAGGAGUCGUCUUCGUAUGCGAGUGUUCGGGUGCCAAACCCCUACGCGUAAUGAAAGUGAACGCAGGUGAGAGCUUCGGCGCAUCAUCGACCGAUCCUGAUGUUCUCGGAUGGAUUUGAGUAAGAGCAUACGGGGCCGGACCCGAAAGAAGGUGAACUAUGCCCGUAUAGGGUGAAGCCAGAGGAAACUCUGGUGGAGGCUCGCAGCGGUUCUGACGUGCAAAUCGAUCGUCAAAUAUGGGCAUGGGGGCGAAAGACUAAUCGAACCUUCUAGUAGCUGGUC
Molecule: ribosomal RNA, 890 nt
Filed under: Trichoderma gliocladium
Lineage: Eukaryota; Fungi; Ascomycota; Sordariomycetes; Hypocreales; Hypocreaceae
Description: LSU rRNA
Rfam family: Eukaryotic large subunit ribosomal RNA
Source: RNAcentral